UGUAGAUCGGCCAAAAGAGAUCUGCAAUCAUCAUUGCGCCAGACCCUGAGGCCUAUUUAAACCCGUCCCCCUCCUUUAGAGGUUUCACUUUGCCUGAGAUUUUUCUUUGAUCCCUUCUUCUUUUCGAGAGCUUCGUCUUCCUCCAGCGUGUCCCUCUCGGUCUUAGGCACUUUUCGGGUCGGCCCCCAUCACCCUCGCUGCCUUCCUGCAUCUCUCGGACC
RNAcentral lists this long non-coding RNA (221 nucleotides) under Elaeis guineensis (African oil palm). Its description in RNAcentral is "long non-coding RNA (EGUI_LNC064577)". The record is from RNAcentral. Lineage: Eukaryota; Viridiplantae; Streptophyta; Magnoliopsida; Arecales; Arecaceae.